GAUGAACGCUAGCGGCAGGCCUAAUACAUGCAAGUCGAACGGCAGCACGGGUAGCAAUAUCUGGUGGCGAGUGGCGCACGGGUGCGUAACACGUAUGUAACCUUCCUUCAACUGGGGAAUAGCUCACCGAAAGGUGAAUUAAUACCCCAUAAUAUUCGAGAGUGGCAUCACUUUCCAAUUAAAGUUCAGACGGUUGAAGAUGGGCAUGCGGAACAUUAGUCNGUUGGUGAGGUAACGG
This 238-nucleotide ribosomal RNA is filed under the name uncultured bacterium. RNAcentral's name for it is "partial 16S ribosomal RNA". It matches the Rfam family "Bacterial small subunit ribosomal RNA", at positions 28 to 263 of the family's 1533-position model. The record is from RNAcentral.